RNAcentral lists this ribosomal RNA (443 nucleotides) under uncultured bacterium. RNAcentral's name for it is "partial 16S ribosomal RNA". It matches the Rfam family "Bacterial small subunit ribosomal RNA", at positions 338 to 795 of the family's 1533-position model. The record is from RNAcentral.
CCUACGGGAGGCAGCAGUGGGGAAUAUUGGGCAAUGGGCGCAAGCCUGACCCAGCAACGCCGCGUGAAUGAAGAAGGCUUUCGGUUUGUAAAGUUCUUUUCUCAGGGACGAAGAAAGUGACGGUACCUGAGUAAUAAGCCACGGCUAACUACGUGCCAGCAGCCGCGGUAAUACGUAGGUGGCAAGCGUUAUCCGGAUUUAUUGGGUGUAAAGGGCGUGUAGGCGGGGGCGCAAGUCAGAUGUGAAAACUCAGGGCUCAACCCUGAGACUGCAUUUGAAACUGUGUGUCUUGAGUGCUGGAGAGGCAAUCGGAAUUCCGUGUGUAGCGGUGAAAUGCGUAGAUAUACGGAGGAACACCAGUGGCGAAGGCGGAUUGCUGGACAGUAACUGACGCUGAGGCGCGAAAGCGUGGGGAGCAAACAGGAUUAGAUACCCGAGUAGUC